AAGGGCCGCAGUAUUCUGACUGUGCAAAGGUAGCAUAAUCGAUAGGUUUUUAAUUAAGAUCUUGUAUGAAUGAUUGGACAAAAGGAAGACUGUCUUUAUACUAAAAUUUGAAUUUAACUUUUAAGUGAAAAGGCUUAAAUUGUCUAAAGGGACGAUAAGACCCUAUAAAACUUUACAUUAGAAUUAAUAUUUUAUUAAAUUUUUAUAAUAAAAAUUUAGUUUAAUUUUUUGUUAUGUUGGGGAGACAAAAGCUAUAAUUUGUAUUAACUGCUUGAGAGAAAUACAAUAAUAAAUGAGUUUAAGUUUAUAGAUCCUUAAAAUAAAGAUUAAAAGAUUAAGUUACUUUAGGGAUAACAGCGUUAUUUUUUUUUAGAGUUCAUAUCAAAAAAAAAGAUUGCGACCUCGAUGUUGAAUUAAAAUAUCUUUAUAAUGCAGGUGUUAUAAAARAAAGUCUGUUCGACUUUUAAUUUUUUACGUGAUC
Molecule: ribosomal RNA, 481 nt
Filed under: Arcopotamonautes bellarussus
Lineage: Eukaryota; Metazoa; Arthropoda; Malacostraca; Decapoda; Potamonautidae
Description: Potamonautes bellarussus partial large subunit ribosomal RNA
Source: RNAcentral